AGAGAGUAUUUGUUGUAAAAGAGAGUUGUUUUGAGAAGAACAUAUCUUCUCAUUUGUCGGGUUUGCUAAGUACCCAAAAUCUUAGUGGUUGAAGUGUUAGGGUGAGGUAUCCUCAAGCAAGUGACGUCUUAAGGUGCGGUAUCCUUGAGCAACUGUAACGGUUUGUUAAGCACCCGUAAGCUUGACGAAGAUAGUGGAAAUCUCGAGAGAGUCUCUCGGGGACUGGACUAGCCACGGG
This 238-nucleotide long non-coding RNA is filed under the name Nicotiana benthamiana. RNAcentral's name for it is "long non-coding RNA (NBEN_LNC018292)". The record is from RNAcentral. Lineage: Eukaryota; Viridiplantae; Streptophyta; Magnoliopsida; Solanales; Solanaceae.